GAGUUUCCAGUUAGUAACUCAUGGCUCUUGAUGAAAUCUUCAGGGGAUCUUACUUAACCAUUAACAAAUAAAUUAAUCUCUAAUCACAAUAAGACAAUAAUAAGCUCUUUUGUUACACAGGUUGUGAAAAUCGAUGGACGUGUGAUUGGUGAAGGAAAAGUUGGACCGGUAACAAGAACACUCCAAAACGCUUACAAAAACCUGACAGAGGAUUCAGGUGUGCUAAUACCCACAUACCAAGAAGCCUGAGAUACCAAAAAAGAGUGGCGGUAAUAAAGAAGUGCGUCUUGGCUUUAACUUCUAGAAAGGCACUACUCGGUCAAAUUAUAUUUAAUUCAGCGUUCUUUGUUUGACCCAACGUGAGAACUGAAAAGUAUGACCAUUAAUAAAUAAAAGCGACCACGUAUCGAGACUACACACAAUCUCGAGGAUGUACUCUUAUUGGUAACCUUUCAUCUUUAUCCUAACAACUAAGGUUGGUAAUGACUAAUGAGAUUACACUUUACAUGCAAAUUAAACUUUGUUCGUGGCAGUGCUUGCGGAAUGGAAGCCUCCAGUGUAUGACAAUGAUGGUGGGAUUGUGUUGGUGACUGCAACCACACGCCGCAACUCGCCUAAUGUAUGAAUUUGACUCAAGACUUCUCUUCAUGAUAUAACUUUGAAUAAGUCUGUUUUUUUUAUCUUUUUUGCUUUCGUUCAGAACUUGGAUUCCAAGAUUCAUCAUAACAACCUUCUCAAUAACAUACUAGCAAAGGUAUUGUUUUUCAAAUCAAGAAAGUUCAAGAAAUGACAUUGUUUUAUGAGAUUAAUGUUCUUUAUAUAUAUUCAAAAUAAAAACAGAUUGAAAGUAGCAAUGCGAAUGCCGCGGAUGCCAUAAUGCUUGACAAAGAUGGUUUUGUAUCUGAAACCAAUGCAACCAACAUUGUAAGAAAGACUUUGAUAGAGUUUUAAUUUACAGAGAAGUUCAUGUUGUUACAUAUUUAUUUUAUGCUAUACAGUUUAUGGUGAAGAAAGGGCGUGUUCUGAUUCCCCAUGCAGAUUUCUGUCUCCCUGGAAUAACAAGAGCUACCGUAAGGGAAAAAAAAAACUCACGUACUUUUGUUAAGAAACAUCUCAGUAAUAGACUUGAUAUAAAACAUUUUUUGCAUUUUCCUAUAAUAUUUCAAGGUUAUGGAACUUGUGGUUAAAGAGAACCUCAUCUUAGAAGAACGAAGAAUCAGUCUCUCGGAAUUUCAUACAGCAGAUGAGGUCAUUUCAGCUUACAAAUGAUCAUUUUCGUCAAGGUCAUUAUGUGUGUGUCUCUUCCUCUAACAAAAUCUAACAAUGCAUGCUUUUCAGGUAUGGACAACAGGAACUAUGGGAGAACUAAGCCCGGUACGUACAGUCUUUAUUAGCUUACUAAAAUAAAGCAUCCUCUAACAUUUUGCACCUGAAUCUUUGACAUUCAAACAUCAAUCUUUUCAUAAAACAUUUGUAGAUAGGGAGUUUCCAGUUAGUAACUCAUGGCUCUUGAUGAAAUCUUCAGGGGAUCUUACUUAACCAUUAACAAAUAAAUUAAUCUCUAAUCACAAUAAGACAAUAAUAAGCUCUUUUGUUACACAGGUUGUGAAAAUCGAUGGACGUGUGAUUGGUGAAGGAAAAGUUGGACCGGUAACAAGAACACUCCAAAACGCUUACAAAAACCUGACAGAGGAUUCAGGUGUGCUAAUACCCACAUACCAAGAAGCCUGAGAUACCAAAAAAGAGUGGCGGUAAUAAAGAAGUGCGU
This 1768-nucleotide long non-coding RNA is filed under the name Brassica napus (rape). Its description in RNAcentral is "long non-coding RNA (BNAP_LNC026353)". The record is from RNAcentral. Lineage: Eukaryota; Viridiplantae; Streptophyta; Magnoliopsida; Brassicales; Brassicaceae.